This 40544-nucleotide long non-coding RNA is filed under the name Lotus japonicus. Its description in RNAcentral is "long non-coding RNA (LJAP_LNC000009)". The record is from RNAcentral. Lineage: Eukaryota; Viridiplantae; Streptophyta; Magnoliopsida; Fabales; Fabaceae.
GGGAUCAAAACCUAUCAUGCCAACAAGUUAAGGAUAAAUUUUAGUGAAAAUUUAAUUCAAUGACCAAUACUAAUAAUUCGUUAUUGUUGUGGACCGAAAACAUAUUUAACCGAAUAUUUAAUAUACCACUACAAAAAAAUCUUGCGUGGACUAGUUUGUCUCUUAGCAAUAAGAUAAAGAUCAAUUUUUUUGUGCAUUGUUAUUCCGGGUUUUGCUUGCGUGUCCAACAUCUCUUCCUUGUCAAAUUUAGGUGGCAGCUCCCAAUCAAAUGAAUGAAGAAGAUUAGCUAGUGAAAGCUCAACUAUGAUCAUUCCCAUGCUCAUUGCAGGACACAUUCUCCUUCCUGCUCCGAAUGGAAUCAACUCAAAAUCUCUCCCCUUGAAGUCUAUUGAACUCCCAAUGAACCUUUCAGGAUAAAAUUCUUCAGGGUCUUCCCAACUCUCAGGGUCCCUUGCUAUUGCCCAAGCAUUUACAUGCACUAAGUCUUGUGGAACUCAUCCCACUAUGUGACCUUUCUUGUUCCUGGCAAAGAUGGUAUGUGGACACCUAAGCUCUGCAUGUUAGAAGAGCUCAUAUCAUCUCCUAUAAUCUGCCCACAGCUUGUUCUUGACUACUCAUCACUCUNNNNNNNNNNNNNNNNNNNNNNNNNNNNNNNNNNNNNNNNNNNNNNNNNNNNNNNNNNNNNNNNNNNNNNNNNNNNNNNNNNNNNNNNNNNNNNNNNNNNUAAUCAAAACACCAACAAUAACUGAUCGCUCACCAAUAGACACACAGGUCACGCGCAGCACAUUUGUCACACACAGUACACACACAGGAUUUGUCACACACACACAAGAUUUCAUCAGCACCACACAACCAGCAAAAACAUCAGCAACAACAGCAAACAGUAAACCACAGCAAACAACAGCAGCAAAUAAAGCCACAACAGCAGCAAAUACAGUGGCAUGGACAAUAACAACAAUUGAACUGAAUUUUUGCUCCACAAACACAUCAAACCUCCCGCCGUUUCCACAGAUUGAACCUCGACAUGUCUCAAGUGCAGGCUGUGACCAAGAAUCAACUGUACGCUGUCGCUGAUCAUUAAGUUUGGUCUCUUGUAACAACAAAAUUUCUGGUUUCAAAUGCAAAACUACUUUUUUUCACCACUAUCCUUUGGUCGAUCCACCAAGGUCGCGGGCGUUCCAAGUUAGCCAUGGUUCUGACAUGUCAAUUAAGAUGAGGAUGGUUUUGGCGAAUUUGAGCUUCUAAGCCACGAAGCAUCAACGCUUCCGAGCCUCGAGGUUUCAAACCCAACUGCAUUCCAAGUAACCAAGUACUAGCUCUAAGAAGUCAACAGGCAAAGGUUUUGGCUUAUUCUUGCUACCUUUUGGGCGUCCCUGUUGCGAACUUUUUUGUGAAGAGUUUGUAUUUGGAGAUUGUUCCAAAUCCGGUGAUACAAGGAUUGAUGUUUCACGAACAGGGGAAUUUACAGGUUGUAUGCGACUCUGAAUUGGCGUCACAGGAGAUGCUUCAUGACGCACAGAUUAAGGGAUGGAGACCUGCUUUCUGAUUAUUUGGUUCGGUGAUGUAUGAAAAAAGACGUCCCUGUUUUCACGUGAUUGAAGCGUAGGUGAAGUUGGAGAAGUUGUCAAAUAGCCAAGAAGCUCAUUAUUGCUGCUAAACUGAUUGGGCAAACACCCCCUUAGCCCUAGGACCUGAUUAUUGAACCGUGGGCCCCUGCAAGCUGAAUUAAAAGGCCAAAAAAUAUUGUUAUUUUGAAACAAAUCUUGAGAAUUAAAAGAAAAACCUGUAACUGAAUAUCUUCUCUCUUGUUUUUCAAUUUUUUUUUAUCCAAGAUUUGGUUUUCUUUACUCAAAAUUCCUUCAGCUUUUAAACUCUUCUUCCAUCCCUCAAUCUCCUCCAGAGAAUAGCCAGAAUCAAUAAUAUCACGUAACUGCUGCUGCUCAUCUUUACGUAACUGCUGCAGUUGUUCCUCAACAGAAUUGAAGGCUGCCAUUAAAGCUUUUGAAUUUGAAUUUGGCCCCAUAGCCGGCGGUGCAACCAUGGCCGCCUCCUUUUCCGGCGACUAUUCUUCCCCAUCAAGCACCUCAGGAAUUAUUUCAUCCUUUCCACAACAUCGCAGGCCUUCAAAACCGCCAUCCCUAAAAAUCUCAUCCUCUUCAUCUGGGUCAAUAUCAGAGGCCGAAUCCUGAUUUUUUUUCAAGUGGAGAAUAACGUUUACUUCCACCAUCUUCAAGCAUGAACGCAUCAUCUUUGAUGUCGUCCACAUUCGCUUCAUCAUCUGUUUCAUCUGCUUCCUCCUCAGAAUUAUAGAUUUUUACCGGCGUGGACAGCAUAUCCUCCACAACGCCAUAAUCAUGGACCUCUGCAUCCUUCUCAACCAAUAUAACGCACGACGUUCCUCCAACAGCCAUAGACAUAGUAAAAUAGUGUAGAAUCGGAUGAUUCAUACGAACUAGUAUACGUGCAAAAUCAGCCCGAUGUCUCAACGCAGUUGGAGUAUCAGACAAGACUUAGCUUCCCAAUUUAUUUCCUAUGGCAGCAAAGAAAAUCUCAUUCCAUAAACCCAUCGGAAUUUGCCAUAAUCGAACCCAGACAUAGUGCGAAGUACCAAAAGUGAACAUAGACAUGGUUUUACCUCAGUAAGCAUCUGUUCCAGAAAAAUUGCACACUCCGUGAUAGUGCUUUCCAUCUCUUCCUUAUUUUCAAACUCCAACAGUACCUCAUUCGCACCAAACGGAAUUAGUCUGAAAUUGAAUAAGCCAAUUUGACUAAACUCUUCCUGUAAAGUUUCAACCGGUUUGAUUGUAAGUGUUCGAGCCUGUGCACACCGUUGAACCCACUUUUCAUCCAUGUCUGCUGCAGCGAAUUGCAGUUGGCUUGUCCCUUGUUUUUCAGAAAUCCUCUAUGUACCUUGCUGUUUCGGGGAUACCAUUUCUUGUUUUUUCACAGAAAGUACUUCCUUUGGUUUCCACCUCUGAUUUCAUAUUGAUACCGCCCUUGAGUUGUGACUGGAGCAGCUUGGGAAGGCCUCUAAAAUCUCGCUUACUGUACCACCAGAUAAUUUCCCUCAAGUCGCAAGCCAUGGAACUUAUGUAUCGCAACCCUGGCCUCAUCAUCACUUAUAAAUCGCAGAUGAUGCUUCUUUUUUUGUUGGAUAAAAACAUCACGUAAACGCCUUGCCUUCUCAAAUAUUGCUCUCAGUUUAGCAUGAGUGACCCUAUCCCCCAAACCAUCAACAAAGAUUGAAAAUGACUCUGGUUGCUGCUUCGAAUUUUGCUGUUGCUUUUCUCUAUUCUGGUUUCCUUGGCUGUGAGUCAGUGGCUGAUCAGACUACAGGCCUCCCUUAUGUGAGAAACCCGCUGUCGCGUUCUGCCAUUGUUGAUCCGAUCUGCCAUUGUUGUUCCAACACAUUUCAGAACUUUGCUGCUGCUGAAAGCGUGAUGGCAUCCAAGCACGUUGUUGGCGCUACCAAUGGGUAUGAUCUCCGCUGGAACUCUGAUCGAGACCCACACCGGGCUUCUGCUAUGGCCGGUAACGUUGAUCACGUCUCUUACCGCCCUCCUGCCAUGGCCGGAACCACCGUGCUGGCGGCGGCCACCUUGAGCUUCUCUCUCGACUCUCUCUCAUCUGCAUUCACUUCUUUUUCAGAAUCGAAGAGCAUCAUGUCCUGAAGAAGAUCUUUGGCGGCGAUUGCUUGGUGAUUUACCUUUGCAAACCCAGAGAUUCACUCAACCCCUUACAAUUCAACAAGGGCUGGACUGGACCUAGGAAGUAGGGGUGUACAAGGGACGGGUUGCGACGGGUUUUUGUUAACCCUAAUCCGGCCCUAAAUAUUGACCGGGCCAAUUCAUAGACCCUAACCCGUCCCUAGACCCGAAGCAACCCGACAAUAUGCGGGUUCAAUUUAGGACGGGUCUAUGUAGGACGGGACCGGGUUGGCCCGAGGGACAAUAAGUCUAAAGACUAUUUAAUCUCAAUUGUUAAAUUUAAAGAUAAUAACAUACUAAAAGAGUUAUAAGUUGGAACUAUCUCUUAGAAGAAAAAACUUGAGAGUAUCUAAUUCUUGCAUAAUCUAUUGUACUGGAGAAGCUUACAUUUUUUUAUCUAUAUGCAUGCGCCACUCACUUUGUUUGAUCUCUCUUCACUUGUCUCACAUGUGCAUAAUGCACAUGCAUGAUUUUCUCUUCGUUAGAGCAUGAAAGUGUCGAUCUUGUGACCAAUGUUUAUUUAAUUCAUAAGGUAGAUGUUAAACAUUUUCAUCUAAUUCACAUGGUAAGAUAAAUUUGAGUACCAUCUAUCACAUUUUUGAUCAUCAUAACAAAUUAAAAUUUUAUAAAAUAUCUAUGUGGGACGGGUCGGGCGACCCGAGUGUCAACCCGAACCCAACCCUACCCGAAGUCGGACAACUCAAUGAUCAACCCGAACCCGAUCUCUUUUAAUGAUCGGGCCGGGUUGGCGGGUAAGGCCGAGUCUUGUACACCCCUAGGUUCAACCUUACAUUUGUUGACCAUGUAAGUUAUUAACUUAGUGAAACCAAACAAAUUGGUUUUUUUUUUUUUUGAAAAUAAACAAAUUGGUUGGUGAAGGCUCCAAUAUAAUAUUUGUUAUUGCUGAUCAGUGCUGACAUGAUCCAGUUACAUAUCUGACAUUUAUUGAUUAGAAGAUGAUUUACACUAAUUAAUUAUACUACAACUUCUGCAGGCGUGUUGAGGUGGUCCUAUACGUACCAUCUAUACUAGAUACAAAACACAAGUGCUUAAGGACGACAAAAUCCGAGGUGUCACCUUCCAGGCAACCCUCCACGUGUCAAAUUCUCAGACCCUUUCAAAAGGAAGCCCUUUUAGUCUUCAGUUUAGCAGAACCGGUUAGUCUCUGAUUUCUCCAUUGCGUUGGCCACAUAAUUGCUCAAUGUCAAUUACGGGUGUCAUCCAAUUCAAAAUUCUUGGCGCUACCCAUCUUCCUCUGCUCUCUUAUCUACCGUUCUUUAAAUUCAUUCGAAGCCACCCUCAUUCACAAACAAGCAUUUCAUCUAAAUCCCUGUUGUUCUUCUUUUUCAAAUACCCUUUCUCUCUCUCUCUCAAUUCCCUGCAAUUGCCUUUCUCUCUCCCUCUCUCUCAAUUCUCACCAUUUUCCUUCGCAAGAAACUUAUUCCACGGUGAGAGCGCUUCAUUCUCCGUCCUCCUCCUCCAACGGAGCCCGCCACAGUGACGGAAAAGGCCACGAUUUCGAUGGUGAAGGUUAACAGAGACCGUCACCGGCGACAUGUAUGGUUACAACUUCAACCACCACAAUAACAACAUCAACGACUUAGAUCUCACCUGCGCCGCUGAUUGCUUCGACACCAACCAGCUCCCACCGGAAAACCCCUUCAGCGAGCGGCGUUUCACUUCAAAGACGCACUUCAGUCCCUUCUCUCCGCUAACGGUGGCGCCAGAUCAUAAACGGUGCUUCCAAAAAAUCCAUCGGUAAGAUCUUCUCCUCCUCCUCCCUUUUGACCAUUUUCUUCUUUCAAUCAUUUUUGUUGUUGUUCUUCCUCUUUGUUUUCACAAAUCAGAACAAGUUUUGGUAUUCAUAUUGUUCAUUCUUUUCACCAGAGACCUUCAAUGUGUUACUUGGAGUAGGAGAUUUGCAAGUUUUGUCUGUCUCAGAUUUGAGUUUAUUACUCCUCUCUUUUGCCCAUUUAUCUUUGGUCAUUUACUUCUUUUAACCCUGUUUGUUCAUAUUUUUCAAAGAUCAGAACAAGAGAGAAAAAAAGGGCUUGAAGAUGGAAGAUGGUGAAUUGUGAAACCUUCCCAUGAACUGUAAUGUCCUCUUUAAUGUUGAGCAAUCCAUUUUUCUCAACCUUUAUGAUUUCUUUCGUUGAUAGUGUGUACUUGGAUUUCAACUGUCUAUACUCAAGAUCCUGGUUUAGUUUAUCAUCACAUAAUUCUCUGAACUGUAGACAAACAAUGCUUAUCAUGGUACAUUNNNNNNNNNNNNNNNNNNNNNNNNNNNNNNNNNNNNNNNNNNNNNNNNNNNNNNNNNNNNNNNNNNNNNNNNNNNNNNNNNNNNNNNNNNNNNNNNNNNNUUUAAUAAAAAAUUUAAUCCCUAUAAAGGGAGAAAAUAGUGGUACCUAUUUUUGGGGUUUAAAAAUUCAAGGGGGUAGGGUUUAUUAUAGGGAUUAAUGGGAUAUGCCCCGUCAGGUGUGAAAAAGUUUUACACUACGGUGCAAUUCACAUUUUGCCACAUAAGAUUAAGUGGGUAAUAAUCCUUUUUAAUUCCAAUUAGUAAAUUAAUAAAUUACUAAUGUGGCGGGAAAUCAAUUGAGUACAUGUGUAAAAUAAGUUUACAUUGUCAGUGCACCUUCCAUUUUCUCUUUUGGUAACUCCUGUAAAAAGUGAAUAUUAUAUGAGGUUAUUGCUAAAUUUUACAAAUGGGCUCAUUCAUUUCCAAACAUAAGAAAAAUAUAUGAAGUUACAUAUAACACAUUCAAGAACGUGUGCUACACGAUGAGCUUACUUGACGAUGAUAAAGAAUACAUUAAUGAAGUAAUAGAAACUUUGCAUUGUUGUGCUACAAACAAUAUUAGAAGACUUUUUGCUACUUUACAAUUAUCAUAUUAGGUUUUAAGGGCAUAAUUUGUUUGGAAAGAAACAUAAGAGUAUUUAAGUGAUGGUUCUUUAUAGGCUUAAUUGCAACUUUAGUCCCUGACGUUUACCAAAACCACGAUUUUAGUCCCUCACCUAAUUUAAUUACAAGAAUAGUCCAUCACGUUCCCUUCCGUUUGCAACGUUAGUCCUUCCGUCUAAUUGUUAACGGAAAAUGCUUAUGUGGCAACGCACAUGCCUCUCAUGUGACCAAGAAAAAUGAUUUAAUUGCGCCUUUGGUCCCUGACUUAUACACAUUAUGUAGUUUUGGUCCUUAAAGUUCAAAAAUUGCAUUCAAAUUUAUAUAAAAACAAAAAAAAACCAGAAAAUGAUAAGUAUUCAUAUUCUUCAAAUUUAAUUACAUAUUUAUUAAAUCAUAAUCAGACAUAAUAUUAUAAAUUUUAAUUUUAAAUAAUUAAAAACAUAUGUAUUGAUUUGUUUAUACUUUAUAGAAUAAUAAAAAUAUAUUUAAUCAAUACAUUUAACUUAAUAUAAAAGAUAUCGGAAAAAAACAUGGAGGAUUAUAUAUACAUACUUUAAAUUUAAAUUAAAUUGGAUAGAAAGAGAAAAAAUUAUGAUUGUUAUCAAAACAUUACUGAAUAAGAAUUUAAAUAAGUAUUUUAUAAAAUCAUAAUCAGGCAUAGUAAAAUAAAUUUUAAUUUGAGUAGAAUUUUUGAAGAAGAUGAAUAGUUAUCAUUUUUUAUUUCUUUAUUGUUUUUUUAUUAAUUUCGAUGCAUUUUUUGAACUUUAAGGACCAAAACUACACAAUGUGUAUAAGUAGGGGACUAAAAGUGCAGUUAAAUCAUUUUUCUUGGUCACAUGAGAGGCAUGCGCGUUGCCACAUAAGACUUCUCUAUUAAAAAUUGGACGGAAGGACUAACGCUGCAAACGGGAGGGAACGUGAGGGACUGUUCUUGUAAUUAAAUUAGGUGAGGGACUAAAAUCGUGGUUUUAGUAAACGUCAGGGACUAAAGUUGCAAUUAAGCCAAUUAAAAACUAAGAAUUAAAAAAUCAAAACCUAGAAAUACAGAUGUAGUUUUCCUAAUUGGUCUCUCCUAUAAUUUACCAAUGGAAUUUUACCAUAGUAUGAGCAUGAUGAUUAUACCCUUACGUUUAUCUUUUAAAUGACAUAAUAUAAUUUAAUUGGUAAAGACAUAUAACGAAACUGUUCAGAAUUCAAAUGUGAGUUGGAGUCACAUAUGGUUAACAAUGAGUGAAGUGAAUACUUUAUAUGAGAUCUAUAAACUCAAUACCUUAAGAUUUUGGGUAAAUAUGUUGUGUCUAAAUCUCUUGGUGAUCUUUGAUGUUGGCCCAUUGAUACAUGAUCUCAUGAUUUAGGCUCCACCUGUCUCCCAACAAGUGGUAUCAGAGACGAUGUUGGUGUAGCCACGAGACAGCUCCUUGUAUCGAAAAUUUACCUGGCGAUGUGGUCAGGCUGCGUGUUCUGUUGACGCCGUGAAGCGAACGACAAUGCAAAUGUGAAUAGCAUGAGAAUGUAGUAGUGACUCGCACUUGAAGAGAGGUUUCAAUCCUAGAAAAACAUGUGCUGAAAUUAUGAGCUGUAAUAUUGCUUGGAUGUUGAACAUGUGGAUCUUGGUAUCUAACAUAUGGGGUNNNNNNNNNNNNNNNNNNNNNNNNNNNNNNNNNNNNNNNNNNNNNNNNNNNNNNNNNNNNNNNNNNNNNNNNNNNNNNNNNNNNNNNNNNNNNNNNNNNNAUCUGCUCAAUCAUAUUUAGCUCGUGGAACUGAUGCUCACACAAUCCCUGAGGACGAUAAACCCGUAUCUGCUUUGCUAUGAUUGAAUCAUAAGGGUUUAGGUCCAAAGCAGUACUAACAAGGAAAAAACCUUUAUCAAAUUUGGCGCCGUUGCCGGGGAUUGUGUUUGUAAUGUUGGUGAAGAUAGUGGAAUGUUGAUUUGAGUUGUAAAAAAGGUAAAUAGUGUACAUAUUCUAUGUUUUGUUCUUAUGUGUCAAUUUCACUGAUUUGUUCUUGUUAUUAAUGCUUGUUGUAGCCUGAUCACCUAUAACAUGAUUUGAGAAUUGAAAUUCUUUGAAUCUGACCUAGAAUGAAUCAGCUAGUGAAUCUAAUCCUAAUUAGGUCAUUAGUCAUGAAGUGAUGAUUUUGAUACAUAAGUGUGUUGUAUAUAUGUGAAUUGUGCAUAGUUGUUGUUUUCUUAUUCCUGUUUCCUUGUUUUUGUUUUUAAAUUCCCUAAGGAUUCCUCACUUUUAGUUCUUGAAUGAUCUUUUGCAAGUUUUCAUGGUCAAAAUCAUCUUUUGAGUUGUGUGAAUCAAGAUAGAACCAUGAAGUUUUGGAAAUCAUGAAUUUUGGUGUGUUUAUUUUCUAUGCUUUUGUGGCUUUCUGUUUUAAUUUGUAGCAAUAGUGAUUUUGUGAAGUUAUGCCAAAACCUGAGUUUUAAUGAGCUUCACAAAUUUUAUUUAGCAUAUUAAGACUGUUCAAUGAGUUUGGAUGCAACAAAUGUGAUAAAAUCAAAUUUUGGGGGUGUGACUUGUUGAAUUUGCAUGUGGAAUGGAAUGUGAAUUGGAUUAUGUGCUUUUAAUUCUAACAAUAUGAAAUUGAGACUUGACACAGGUCCAAAAUAGUGUUUUUCAUGUAUAGGGAGGAAUGGAAAGCAAGGAUGGUAAGUAUUGUAAAAUUUGAGGUAUGAGGUGGUAAAAUAGAAGAAAAUCAUGUCUUUAAGUGAAAUUGCUGCAUAAUUAUGCAGGUUGCUCUCCAAGACCUUUGAAUUUUCUCAUGUUCAAUGUUAUUUUAGUAUAUUUAUGCAUUGAGUUUUGUGUAUUGGUGCUUUGGUUUGUUAAAUUUCAAGUUUGGUUUGAUUUUAACACUUUGCAGCUCUUGAGGUUUCAUUUUUUAGUUUUAUGAACUGAGUUUUUGAUCUUGUGGAUUCAAUGUCUAAAUGCUAGAUUUUAAGAUUUCCACAAGUUUUCCUUGAUGAUUAUAUCAUGUUCAAUCAAGUUUGGGGUAAAUUUUUAGCAUGAAUUGGUUUUUGGGGUAUGGAGUUGUAAAAUACUUGAGAAAUUCCCUGGAAUCCUGUCAAAUCUGCAUAAUUCUCUUGUAGUUCGCUCAAGCCAACAUACAGUUUGCUCAAGCGAACACGUAUCAACCCUUAGGCAAACUUGACUUCAUGAUUCUUGAAAAACUUGGCUUGAGCAAUCUCUAAGCCAACGCAACUUUGCUCAAGUGACUACAACUUUGCUCAAGCCAAGUACCUACCUAGAAAAUGCAUCUUCCACUGGAAAAGGUUGGCUCAAGCGAUGCUUAAGCGAAAUACAUACUCAAAAACACUGUUUUGAGUUCUGAAGUGCUAAAAGGGAUGUUUUUUGAAUUUUAUUAUGCUUAAGCUCAUAAUUUUAUUAUUCUUACCCCUCUUUUGCGUUCUAACUUGAUUUUAAGUGACUUGAAGGCAGGUUCAUGAUGAUAUUUACAUUUGGCUUGAAGACAGUCCUAAUCUCUUGGAGGGGGUGAGAGCUUUGAUGAGCAACCUUGGAUUAAAUGCAAAGCAUCAUGAGGGAGUAGUUUUUGUCCUUCUUUCUUUUGUUUUUAAUAUCUUAUUAGCAUUUUGGUAUAUAUAUUAAUUAACACUUUGUGUAGAUUUCAUCGAUAGCUGACUGGUUUUAACUAGUAUGGUUAAUGAAACAUCAAUAUAAUUGCAUGAUACGCUUUUAAAUGCAAUUUGAAUUGUUUGAUUCCUUGAUUUAAUUGGUGUUUGCACUCAGAGAUAGCAUGAUUUGAUAUGAUUGUAUGAUUCACAUGAAAUUCAUAGGCAUAACAUGAAAUUUUUUGAAAAUCAGGGAAUGCUUUGAAUCCAAACCAAUGUGAGGGAGUGUUCCUAAACACUUGUGAGCUGAGAGAUUCUUCAUUGUGUUGCAUGAUUGGUUUUGUUUGAGUAUCUGAUUAUCAUUGUUGUAUGUAAUUUCUUGGAAAUGAUCAAGGCAAAUUUUGUUCCAUAUAUACAGCCACUUAGCCAUAUAGCCUACCAUUUACAUGUUAAUUCCAUUGUUAGCCCUUUUGAGCCUGGAAAAGAAUAUUGUUCUGAUUUGUUCUUGUUUAUAACCUUGAGCCUUAAAAGAAAAACAAUGAUCUCUCCUAAGCUGAAUGGUUUAAGAGAGCACUUGUUCAUGAUAUGGUUGUAUUCAAGUUGGGGAGAGAAGGAUAAUAGUGUUAUUUUUGUGUGGUUUGUGUAUCAAUCUGUUUGUACAUACUUGAAAGUGAAAACAAAAAGAUGAAAAAGGAGAAAAAGAGAAUUAAAAAAAAAGAUAGAUUGAUGAAAAGGGUGAAAAGAAAAGAAAAGAGUGGUGAAUGAGAGAGUUGGUAAAAGCACUAGAGUAAUUUAUCAUUUAUGGUUAGUUUGAACUAUGAUUGCUCUCUUAGCUUGUUGAGUACCUUGCAUAUCCAGAAAAACCAAUUUUCUUUGAAGCCUAACCACAUUACAACCCUCAAAGACCUUAGAGAUCCUUGAUUGAACAUGCAGCCUUGAUAACUGCGGAGACGGAUAACAAAAUUGAUUUAUGUGAUUCAGUGAGUGAACUGAGUGAAACACUCGCCUUACUUUGAACAUAAUGAAAUGCUGAGUGAAUGAAUAUCCCUGGUUGGAAAGGAAUGAAUUGUAUGUUUAUUGAUUUUCAUAGUGGAUGUGCAUUUGUAUCAUUGUUGUGUUUUUCUUUUGUAGGCAUCACAUUUCUAAUUUUGGAUCCUUCAAUUUAAAAUCUUAAGAAAUCUUGCAAUUUGAGCUUUUGAGGAUUCAAAGACCAUGCCUGUUGAAUGAAAGUCAUGACCUUUUGUUUGAGGACAAACAAAGUGUUAAGUUGGGGGGAGUUGAUAAGUGCAAUUUUUACGUGUUUUUCAUUAUCAUUAUAGACACUUAUUUGACUAGUAUGCUUGCAUUGUUGAUCAUUUUAUCCCCAAAGUAGCUUGCUUAGAAAAUAUUUAGUUUUAGCAUAAAAAUAAUGUAAAUAUUAUGCUUUUAAUAUUUAAUGUCUUAAUUUUGAUGUAGGAGUAAGAUGAUCACUUGAAGAAGGCUUGAAUCUUGAGCAAGAAAAUAAAGUGAGGAAAGUUGGCUCAAAUUUAGCUUGAGCGGACUGGAAACAGAGCUGAAAAAUAAGCAAAGGAAAGAGUUCGCUCAAAAGUUGGCUCAAGCCACCACUUUACAGUAGAUUUUCAGCAUAGUUCGCUUGAGCCAACUUGAGUUAGCUUGAGCGGACUGAAGGCGGCCUUAACUACUUUAGCAUGAAGAAAGGUUCGCUCGAGCCAACUUAGCUUGGCUUGAGCCAACUAAGGUCGGCCAGAAACUCUAUAAAAGGCCAGACCACGAAAUUUUCAGUAUCUCUUCCAUCUCUCUUCCAUUUUUUCCUCCCUAAACAUUCAUAGGAGGCUGGGCUUCAUGGGGGAAGGGUCCCUGGGUCUAGGAUUGAAAGAUUGAAGCUCCGGAGCGUGGCGGCGACCGCCGAAGGACCGUGACAACCUCUCGAGGGCGAUGGAAAGCUUGGGAAAGCUUCUAUCGCCGUGGAUCCUUCGCCGUUCUUCUGGGUUUCAUCUUUUCUUCCUUAUCCCUUGGACUUGUUGUUUCUAUUUUUGUAUUUAGGAUGUUAUAACUUGAUGCUUUGAUUGUUGUAAACUCUUUUCAUAAAUGUAAAUGAUAAUCUUUCAUGUAUGGUGUUUCUUUCUAUGCUUCAUGCCUCUAACCAAUCAAUUGAUAAUCAAAAGAGUUCACUAAUUUAUAAAUAGAUCGAAAGGUUGAUAUGAAUUAGUGUAUGCUUAGUUCAAUGAAGGUAGAACACCUAUGUCUUAGGUCACAAUUUGUGUGUUAAAGUUUUGCUUUAUGUGCUUCAAGUAUCAGUGAUUUGCGUUAGAUUUCCGAGGACUAGCAUGAGAUCGGGAGAUAAAUGCAGGUCCGGUUCAAGAGAGAAACCACUCACUAAACCAAUUGUCUUAAGGUGAGAAUAUCUUAGGUAAGAGCAAUAGUGGAUUUCCACGUGACAGGUGGGAUUCUGAGUUCUAACAGGAGUUUCCGGGUGAGAACGGAGAUUCGCAAGCCUAAGAUACCUUGUAUUAGGAUAGAUUGGUCAUUGGGAAUGUCUUUGAGAGAGAACUUGAGUUAUAUUAUUCCUUUUGGGUUUUCUAGAUGGUAAGGGAUUACGUCUAGAAUUCCACUGAUAGAUUCACCUAGGCUAGGGAUAGUUAGGUGGAUAGCUCUCGGCAUCAUAAGUGAAAUGAACCAUUACAUAAGUGUUUGAGUUGAAAACAAUCAAAGGACUAGGUGACGACAUAUCUAAAUACAUUUUCUUCUUUGUUACCUCAGUAAACCUUCUUUUACUGUUUUCUCCUAUAUUCAAAAUCACAAAAACAAUUUAUCAAACAUCUUUGUAUCCGCUCAGAUCAAUGUUUAACUGGUAGAACUAAUGUUCACACAAUCCCUGAGGAUUAUAAACCCGUAUCUGCUUUGCUAUUAUUGAAUCAUAAGGGUUUAGUUCCAAAGCAGUACUAACAAGGAAAAAACCUUUAUCAAAUUUGGCGCUGUUGCCGGGGAUUGUGUUUUGAAAUGUUGGUGAACUAGUAGAAUGUUGAUUCGAGUUGUAAAUAGUGUACAUAGUUGUUCUUGUGUAUCAAUAUCCCUGGUUUAUUAUUGUUCUUAAUGCUUGUUGUAGCCUGAUCAACUAUAACAUGAUUUGUGGUUUGGAAUUCUGUGAACCUGUCUUGGAAUGAAUCAGCUAGUGAAUUUAAUGUAAUUUAGGUUCAUUGGUCAUGAAUUGAUGCAUAGCAUAAUGUAUAUAGGUGCUGUCUUGAGCAUAGUUGUUAGCGUGUUCUUUCUCUUGCUCUCUUGCUUAUGGUUUUAAAUUCCCUAAGGAUUCCUCACUUUUGGUUCUUGAAUGAUCUUUUGCAAGUUUUCAUGGUCAAAAUCAUCUUUUGAAUUUGUGAAUCAAGAUAGAACCAUGAAGUUUUGGAAACCAUGAGUUUUGGCGUGGUUAUUAUCUAUGCCUUUUGUGGGGUUUCUGGUUUAAUUCGUGACAAUAGUGGAUUUUGUGAAGUUAUGCCAAAACCUGAGUUUUAAUGAGCUUACAAAUUUAUUAGCAUAUUAAGACUGUCAAUGAGUUUGGAGCCACACAUGUGAAAAAUCAAUUUUUGGGGGUGCCUUGUUGAAUUUCAUUGGGAUGGACGGGAAUGGAAAUCCUUUUAAUCUCCCAAUGAAUUGGAAUUGCCCGGUCCAAAAGUUUUUUAUUUUGGGGGAGGCAACCGGGGAAAAUUGCAAAUUGGUCGGGGGGAAAAAAAAAAAUUUUAAAAANNNNNNNNNNNNNNNNNNNNNNNNNNNNNNNNNNNNNNNNNNNNNNNNNNNNNNNNNNNNNNNNNNNNNNNNNNNNNNNNNNNNNNNNNNNNNNNNNNNNGUUUUCAAAGCUAAUAAUUAGGAUUUUGUUGGAACGGCUAAAAUGUAAGUGGAAAGUCUGGCAUUUGUCUAUCAUUAAAUUCCAUCAACACACUCAUUCUACAGAGAAUUAAGCACCAAUUAAGAACCCAUGGGAUGGGGUGAUAUCUACAUGUAGUAACUAUUACAGGCAUGACUGCUCAUACAGUUGAAUGCCUUGGUAACAUGAUCCAUGUGGGUAGGGUAAAAAACAUCUUGAUAAACAUGAACUUACAACACUCAGACAGACGGCUAUAUUCACAAAUAACCUAGAUUAAUUGCGAUCCUUUCAAUUAGUUGGAGGCAAUUUUUCUUUUAAAAUAUAACGUUUGAUUUAUUUCAAUUUGAACAUAUACUUUGGUAUGAUACAUAUCUCAUAUCUACAUCUCUGACAUUUCUUCCUUAAAUAUUUUAAAAUUAUUUUUAAUCAAGUUUCAUAUAUUAUCCUUAUAAUUUAAAAAAAUUCCAACAUUUUCGCAUAUCUCAUUUAUAUUAUUUAUUCCAUCCUACCACUACAAUAAAAAAAUGAGUGUCAUAUAUUAAGAUUAACUAUGACAUCAAUUAUUAUAAUUAUUAAUAUAGAAUGGAACUUGAAAAGUUUGUAUUCUAUAUACUAUAAAUUUAUUGAAUGCACUUCAAUUUUAUAACUUGUGCCCCUUUACAAUCCACUUGCAAGCUUCACCUAAAUUCCAUGUAAAUGACAUUGUUUCAGGUUCUAUUACUCAUAUAAAUUUUUCAAUUUAUGAUUAGAUUUAAAAUAUUAUUUAUAUUUAUAUGUGUUGGUCUGUUAUUUAUUUUUUUGCAAUAGUAACAUAGAACAAUUUAUUUAUUUAUUUUAUCUAUUUGAAACAAAAUAUGUGUUUUAACAUAUUUUCCUUAAAAUUGGAACAACAUAGAGUUCACUCUAUUUAACUCAUGAGCUGUUAAUCAAUCUAAUUUAGUGGUGCAAUGCACAGGGUCGUUGGGCUCUCGACAAAAUAGAUCGGGAAAGCAAAUAAACAUUGUCCACUAACAAUCACCGAAUGUAGAUAAAAAGUAUUAACCACUAAAUUAUUGCCUUAGAUCAAAUAAAAAUAUUAAACAAUUUAAAAAUCUUUGUUCGAAGAGAAAAAUGUAUAGCACCAGAUAGAACCCCCAAAACAUAUAUAAUCUAGUCCCUUAAUGUAUCAACCCAUGUCAUAAUAAAUUUUAAACUUCUUUAAGACAAAAUAUCCAAUUCUUUUAUGCAAAGAGGUUCAAAGACAAAACUAAACUUCAAUUUACAAAGAACACCCGAAACAAAUUCACAUAUGCUUCAUUACUUAAGGACAUGGAUAACUCAUUAGUUUCAAUCAACUUCUCUAUAUAUUCUUCAACCCAUUGUGUUUCAAGUUCAGUGUUAAAUUUCUAUUAUGUUAAUAAAUACAUAUUAAUAUGUACAACUUUUACUAUUAUAAUUACUAAUAAUAUAAAUAAAAAGAAACAAUAUACCAAUGAACUUGAAUAUUCUUCUAUCAGGUUUAAAUAAAAUUUAUAGAGACGAAUUCGUAAUCAGGUCAAGNNNNNNNNNNNNNNNNNNNNNNNNNNNNNNNNNNNNNNNNNNNNNNNNNNNNNNNNNNNNNNNNNNNNNNNNNNNNNNNNNNNNNNNNNNNNNNNNNNNNAGCUUCAUCGCAUAUAUGUGAAAGCUCAUGCUCUUCUAUUACGUCAACGUUCGGGUGAAACCCUGUUUCUGUCUCGAGUAGAGAAGGAGGAUUUUGGUUCACAAAACUUUGAUGUCAUUGUUCUUGCCGCCAGCACGAGACCAAAUCCUCACUGCCCUUUUAGUGAGAUCUCUUGAUGGGGUAUUUGUCAUGAUGUUUGGCGAUAAUGAAAGAAGGUUUGAGGUGGAUGGAGAUUCCGGUUGGGGUCUUAGAGGAAGUUGUUGGAAAAUGUCAAUGCUUUAAGCCGACGCUAUGUGGCUUCUGUGUUUGUCACCUCAAUCUAUUCCUCAUCUUCAUUCUCCUUCUUCUUCUUAGUCUUUCGUUUCACCUCUGGGGUUGGGAUUUGAGGCAUGCAAGAAGAUCUCCUCCGCCAUGGCGAGAUCUCUCAUCUGAUCUGCAACAAGGAAGAGGAGAAUAAGCUUCCACAGAUCCGCGAUAGAAAGAAAGGGCUAGAAUGACAUUCAUGGUGAAGACUGAGGGCUGCAUUGGUGGCGAAGAAGGUGAAGACAACGAAAGAGAAUGAAUCUGUGUGAGGAGGUUGUUGCGACAAAGGGGAGAAAAUACCUACUGGUGGUAGUGGGCUUGUGGCGGCUGAGAGUGAUAGAGAGAUUGAGAAAGUGUGGCGAUUAUGUUUGGAGAUGUUGAGAGUGGUUGAGAGAUUGAGGGUGUGUGACUGCUAGGAUUGGGGUUGGGUAUUUGAGGCGCAUGUGGGCUGGGCCUAGAGGAGUAUUAUUUUUUUAAAGACCUAGCUCAGUCGGGCUGGAGGCCAAUCCGAAACAGACCGAUUUAACCACAAGAGACAGGUUUUUGAACCGCACGUCGUUGAAUCAAGUCGACCCACCCAGUUGCACAAAAAAACUCGGCUUUUGCAAGUUCGGGCUAGGCCUGAUGUAUUUGGGCAUCCCAAACAAUUGGUAUAUAAAAACCUCUUAGUAUAUUUUGAUGAUAAUAAGGAUAGAGUUACUGUUCUUCCCAGCUUCUCAGCCACUAGUAUGAGUACAUCUCAGCCGACCAAAAGGCAUGCCUCGAAGCAUCCGUUAUAAGUCCGGGUUAAAUGACUCAAAAGAAGCAUCCUACCAUCAGAGACGUGCAUUUUCGGGGACUAGUCUGCUUCCCAUUACUCAAGCAAGAGGGAAAUUCCUAGCACAAGGAAAGCUCUGGAAAGAUAGGACUUUCCGACACAGUUUUUAGAAUUGUUAGUACAGGCCAGCGCCAUAUUCAAUGAUGGACAUCUUAGGUCAAUCGGCUUAAUUCCGAACAGCUGACACCCCCUGUUGCUCCAUUCUGGAUCCCUGAGUGAUAGAAAGGAUAUAAGCGGGACCACCAAACCUCACCUUGAUGAGUCUAUCGCUUGAUUGAAAGGAUCAGACACUGUCCCCCACUUUUCACAGUAGAACGAAAGAAUUAUAUUCUGAAACCAACAAAUCAAUGAAGGGCUCGAAGGACCACCCCCCUCACACUCACUCUGACCCUAUAAAUACAGGUUAUAUCAUUCAUUUACAUAGCAUGAUAUUCAUUAUUAAUAUUUACACUUAAGUUCUAACUGAGUCUCUGAGAUUGUCUCUCAACUCAAACACUGACUUGAUCUUUCACUAGCAAAUCUUCUCCACUCAUUUGAUUGGGAACUCCCACCUGGAAUUGACAAGGAANNNNNNNNNNNNNNNNNNNNNNNNNNNNNNNNNNNNNNNNNNNNNNNNNNNNNNNNNNNNNNNNNNNNNNNNNNNNNNNNNNNNNNNNNNNNNNNNNNNNGUCUCUUUUACUGCUUUCUUCUAUAUUCAAAAUCACAAAAACAAUUUAUCAAACAUCUUUGUAUCCGCUCAGAUCAAUGUUUAACUGGUAGAACUAAUGUUCACACAAUUCCUGAGGACGAUAAACCCGUAUCUGCUUUGCUAUUAUUGAAUCAUAGGGGUUUAGUUCCAAUGCAGUACUAACAAGGAAAAAACCUUUAUCAAAUUUGGGGAAAUGUCAUAUGGCACGAAACGAAAUUCGUUUGUGUCCUUUAUGUGAUAUAUAAAUAAAUCUGAUUUUUUUUUGAAAUGUAUAAAUAAAUCUGAUUGGAUGUAGCUUAAUUCGUUGAAUUCGUUGCCUAAUCUUUUCGGGCCAUAUAUCUCACUACUCUAUUAUUUGGCUUACCUAAAUAAAUAAAUAAAUCAAGCAAGGCUUUGACAUGGUGCAGAUUUGGCGAUAGUGUGGCGCUAACAUUGUGAUAUUGUAAUCGUUUUCAACCUUCGAAUUUGGGGACCAACGAAAUUUUUUAAGGAGACUCUUUCUCACUUUACCAUCCUUUCGAGCAUGUGUACAACCUCGUUUUUUCAAAAAAUAAAUGACCGCAAAUGAAGUUUUUGAACAGCUUGCCAAAUUUACUCAUGCAAGGAAAACACAAUGGCCAAUUUCUGGCUAAACUUAACCAAGAGCGCAAGAAGCUGGGGAAUCUUGCUAUAAUGCCAAAUGGAUCAAAAAUCUAAAGAAAAACAUGGGAAAGCACUCUCGUAGGUAUUUGCUUCAAGAUUUUAGAUGAUGAACACAUACACAUAAUACCCGCUAGGAGCAUAUAAUUAUUCAAAAAAAAACAAUAAGAUGGGUAGUGGAUACUACCAAUCCAUAUGCACCUUAUUAGUCAAACCAUGCGUAUGCGUGCUUGGAGGUGGUGUUCUACCUCAAUAAAAUGUUCAUGAUGGGAUUCUAUAUUAUUCGUUCUUGGCACAAGGCAAAAUAAAUUUCUGGGCAUACUAAUCAGGUUCUCUUGGUGCCCACAUUUUUCUUNNNNNNNNNNNNNNNNNNNNNNNNNNNNNNNNNNNNNNNNNNNNNNNNNNNNNNNNNNNNNNNNNNNNNNNNNNNNNNNNNNNNNNNNNNNNNNNNNNNNUCGAUAAAUGUUUUCUUGUUUAGUGCAGAAUGACUUCCCCAAGACUGUAGCACUCUUUUUCCUUGCUUGUCCCUCUGGGUUUUUCCAAGUAAGGUUUUAAUGAGGCUCUCUCUUGGGGCUUCGUUCUGUCAUUCUGGGGGUUGGUGGUGGGUUUUAAGCACAGCUCAGGUUGUUUUUGUCUGCUUAAACUUGUCAGGUUCAGUUUGUAUUUGGCUCUUGCCUAUAGCUGCUUUGGUUUAGGCUCUUAUUAAUAAUAUACUUUUAAUUUUCAAAAAAAAAAAUUCAUUAUGAAAAUGAUAACUUGUGUGGUUUUUUGAGCGUUUUGACUAUAAUAUUUAUAUAUUUAUUUUUCGGAGAAUUUUACUGAGAAAAAAAUCCCAUAAAGUAUCAAUGAUGUGGUAAGAUACUAUACAUGGCAAGAUUUUGUGGACCACACCUAGGGUGUGGGUGCACAACAUAUUCCUUGGGGAGGAAGGAAGAAUUACUUGAUUAAUUGGGAUAUUGUUUGAAAAUAAAAUGAUUUAAUUCAUUUUAAUCAAAUAAGAUGAUAGUCAAAAUAGGAUAGCUCAAGUGGUCGGAGUUGAGAGAUAUAUGAGUUGGGUAGGAGGAGGUUUAGGGUUCGAUUCCUGGCAGGUGCAAUUUUUUUUUCCGAUGUACAAAAAAAAUUCAAAUAAGGUGAUAAGGAGAAAUUUAAAAUUUAAGAUAGAGGUUUAGUUAGUGGAAAUUUUUACCUAAAGAUAUUUAAGAUCAAAUUAAGUAUCUAUUUUAUUUCAAGAGAUAAUUCCUAAUAUUUGAAUUUAUUUUACAAUAUUAAGGUUCUAGCUCAGUCCAUAAUCUUUUAACUUAAAGAUUACGAAAAUAACUAUUAGAGAUUAAGCAGAAGAUUUUCCGCUUGAUAAGAGGAGUGGCACACAUAACAUAGAGGGGGUUGGAAAAUUCUCUAGUGAUCAAAAAAUUAUUUGGAAAAUUUCUCACUCUCUCACACAUAUACUCAACGUCUCUCUCUCUUGCUCUUAAGAAGAAAAUUCCUUUAUUCUUAUUUUGCUUCAAACAACAAGGUAGGCUAGGGUUCUUAUCCCUUUGAGUUUCUUCUAUGCUCAUCUCCAUGUCUUUUCUACUUUUUCUUUUCUUUUUGGAAAGCUUGUUUAGAAAAUGUUUUCUUUUGGUGAAAAGAGUUUCUUUUGAUAAGGUUGCUCGUCUUUGGUUUUUUUUUAAGGUGUUGUUUGUUGUUUGGCUGGAAGCAUGUUGUGGUACUUUGUAGGUCUUUUUGGUUGGAGUCUUAUUUGGUGUUGCAUGGAUUUUUCGGGGCUUUUCCAUUCCUUAGGUUUUAUAUCUUUUGUGGUUGGGUUUUUAUUCAAUAUGUGUUGUAGAUUGUGACUGAUGGAGCUUUGCACUUUAAAAUCUUUUUCAAGAUUGUAUUUUUAUCUAUUAAUAUCAUUUUACUUUCUAAAAAAAAGUUGGGAAGUUUUGGGAGUUUUUACAUCUUGUUGAAGUUGUUUCAAUAUAUAGAGGCUGCAGCCUAUACACUCUUUUUUCGGGGUUGGUGUUGUGUUGAAUACUUGUAUAUGAUUAACAAAUCCUAGUUUUUGAAUAGGGGUUGAAAUUGGAAGUUUUGAAAGUAUAAGAACCUUUUUUAUAAAUAGCCUAAAUAGAUAAAAGGUCGAGGGUUAAUUUAAGUUUUUAGGGGACAAAGUCUAAAUAAUCAAAUAUUAGGGUUUUGUUUGCAAAUUUAUUUGUCUAGUGUGUUUUGACCCUUUCUCGAGGCCUUCCAUAUGGUUCUAGUCUUGUUCUUGGCUUAGUUGAUAACUUAAUUACUCACAUGUUGUGAAGGUUCAAUUAGUGGGGUUCUUGAGGUUCUAGGACAUGCUUUUGGGAAAGAAAGCGACAAAGGUGAGGGCACUUCCGUCUUAGAGUGUCUAUGUGAUUGUUGUGUGCAAUGUGUUUGAUUCGUGAUUAUGUUAUGUUAUAUGUUUGUCUAAUUGCAUGAUGAUAACAUGAUAUUGUUGUAUGUUGAGAUGAUUGUGAUCUAUGAUGUCGAUUUUAAUCUAUGCUAAAACAUGUGAUGUUAUGCUAUGAUAUUUUGAUGAUAUGCAUAACAUCACAUUCACAUGGGGAAGAGUUGAUAAAAUGAAUCAAAAAAUGAAGGAAGAUGAUUGUUGGUAUGUUUUGAAGCAAAUAAUAAUUACCAUUUAAAUUAGUAAAUUAGUGUUGGUAUUCACCCCUCUUUAAAAAAAGGAAUUGUUAUUCGGACCCCCCGACAGUUAUUUAGACCAUGUUAAAUUCGUAAAAUCCACAAAAGCCCUUUAUAAAGUUUUUUUCGCUCGCACUGUGAAAGUGCGACCAAAACGCAUGUGGAAAGUGCGUCCAGGUGCGUCCAUCACACACUUUCAACGUGCGUAUUGGUCGCACUUUUACAGUGCGACCAACUUCUUUGAAGGUACUAAGAUUUGUGUAAUUUAGACAAAUUCCUUCAUCUGGUAUUUUAUUUUGAAUUUCAAACAUUUUUUAUUACACCAUAAAUCUCCAUAUAUUCUAACUUGAUUUACCGGGAUCUCAUNNNNNNNNNNNNNNNNNNNNNNNNNNNNNNNNNNNNNNNNNNNNNNNNNNNNNNNNNNNNNNNNNNNNNNNNNNNNNNNNNNNNNNNNNNNNNNNNNNNNAGAUAAGCAUUGGAGAAGAUGCAGAUGAGAAAGGGGGCAAAUGGGGAAGAGGUGAAGAUCACAUAAGAUUGGUAAUCUGCAGCAGAGAUAGUCCGUACCUGUUAGCUACCAUGUUUCGUAUCUUCUGUGUAGUUACCGGAAAAACCGACCCAAACCCGACCCGUGACCCGGCUCUUGCGGGUUUUCUCUUAUGAACAGUGGCCAAUUCCCUCUAGCUUUAGUAAGUUAUAGAUUCUCUUGCAAAGAAAAUACAGAAUAUCCAGUUCAAAUGUGUUGUAGCCUAAUUUUGCAAUGCAAGGAAACUUUCUUGUAGUGAAAAAACACCAUUUUUACAGUGAAGAAAUAUAUAGAUGGUUUUUAAACUAAACCAACUAUACCCUUAACUUGAUAGACAAAGUAAAGAGAUUCAUACAAAUAUAUUGAGAUUAAGUUACUCACAGCAUUAAACUUUGUCAUCCAUUUUUCAUAGCUAGCCUUGCCAACCUAAUUGAUUUAACAGUUCUCUUUGAAAUCCAAGGCAAUAAAGCUCUUCAAUUGACAUAAUCCUGAAGGGAACCCACAACCUAUUAAUAUGAUAGCAGAUAGUAAACUCGUAAGUUAGUUCGCUAGCUAAUAUAUACCUUAUUGAGGAGUCAUGCAAGGGUGUGGGAUAUGAACCCUCCAUACUAUCAAUAUCUUUUCUGGCACAACAGCGUAAAUCAUAUCGCCAGAUGCAAGGUGACCCAUAAUUUCAGCAACCUAUUUCCCAAAACAGCACAUUCUAGAGUCCAGACGAACACUUAAGAAGGAAAUUCAGAGGUCAAAUUGAUAAAAUGACAAAAACAAAAAGAAAUCAUCAGAAUUAAUACUGGCAUACCCUUCUUGACAACCUUCAAUAGUAUUCUUCUGCAUAACAACAUCUUUCUCAAACUCCUGUUUGCCACCUGCUCCAGUCAAAAUACCAAUUACAUAUGCAUCGCUAAUAAAACACCAUUAGACAACUGUAUAUCAGGGACCAUACAAACUUGGUAUAAACCUCAAUUAAUAAUCAACUAUAACAAUAAAAAACGAAGCAAAAAUUAAGAAAUAAACGACCUAAAUCAUAAUAAAAAAUUUAAAAAGGUACUAUUAAAGAUAGAUAAAAACUAUCAAAAUCUAGCAAAGCACAAUAAAAACUCAUAAAAUCCUAAAUUAAAUAAAAAUCCGAAAAUUCAAUAAAAAUACGAUAAAAAUUAAUUAACACUCUUCAGGGAAUAUGUAACUAUAUGGUUUAAAACUUAUGAAAGGUGCUGGUAUACUGGCGGUAUGUUUUUCACGGGAAUUGAAAACCUUUUACCAUGUACAUUAUGAGAGGGAAGGUAACGUUUGGCACAAAGAAAACUUAUAUAAGAACAAAGAGGGAAAUAUUGAAUGGUAACAUAUUAACCAUGUAAUCAAUAUUUUAAUUGAAAACAUAAACGGGAUGCCAAUCAUAAAUAGAUAAAUAUUUUUAAUUUAAAUUCACUUUAAAUCUUUUGAAAUAUUAAUAAAAUAUACAACAAAAAGUUCAUAUGCAAACAAAUAAAUGUUCUCAAGAUUUAGCUUAAGCAAAUAAGGGACCAUAAAAUUCUAAAGAAAAUUCACCAUUCCAGAAAAAAAAAAUGCAACCUAGCAAUAGGAUUUGGCAAUUCCAAAUUAACACUAACCUAUAGGUAUUCAGUUGUAGAAGAAUCCCACCAAAACUAUGAAAAAAUCUAAAUUGCAAGGUGAAAUGAAUCACACUACUUUUCCACAUACCUGGAUUAAUUAAAAAAUAUAUAUUUUCUAUUGUUUUAUAUGCACAAUAUUUUUUUAUUGAUCUCAAGUUAAUUAUAUUCUCAUAAAAAAAUACCUUUUUAAAUUUUAGAUUUGAUUAGGAUUUAGAUUGUUUAUUUCUUGAUUUUAUCUUAAUUUAUUUUUAAUUUAUUUCUAGAGUAUUAAUUAAAUUUUAUGGUAUUUUUAGUGAAUUUUUCUGAUUUUUAUUUUAUAUGCACAAUAUUUUUUUUAUUGAUCUCACCUUGCGUAUGUUAGUCACUAAGACUAUGUUUGUAUAAAUGUUCACAUACAUUCAAAUGCACCUAUAUCUCAAUCUUUGUUAGUAGUACAUGCCUCAAAUUAAAGUACGUACUUAUGGCCAUUAACCUUAAGAUUUGGAUAACACACUGCAGAAAGAUCUGGUUAACCUAAUUCAUAAGCUUACAACAUCAAAGAAACUUUUAAUCCCCCCUUAAAAAGUGAGAACAGAUGGAAAACAAUUCACCUUUCAUGACCAGUGAGAACAGAUAAAUGUUGAAAUAACAUACAUAACAAUGAAAAAUAAAUAAAUGGGAUGUUCAUCUAUCAAAUGUUAAUUUUUUUUAUUCAACCCAAACCCCAUUUAUUACCUUGGAACCUUUUCCAAAAACAAUUUUAUUUUGUGGGAAAACCUUUAGAAAGGGGGUUUAAAAAAACAUUGUGAAAUUUGGGGGGGAAAACCAAAAAAAGAACACACACUUUUUUUUUGGGAAACCUCUUCCCCUUGGGGAAAAAGAAAAUUCCAUUUUAAAAAAAUUUUGGGAAAGGGAAAAGAGAAAAGGGGGACCCUUCCCCCAAAGAAGGAAAUAUUUGGAAGGGGGAAAAAAAAUGGGAAAUAUUGGCCCCUUUUUGUGAACUCUUUUUUGGAGGGUGGAAUAAAAAACAAAAUUCCUUUAAAGAUCCUUACCAAAAAGGGCCCCCAAAAAGUCAAUUUGGUUUUUUUUACCUUACCCUUAAGAACCAAAAGAGAAGCCCAUAUUUUUUCCUCAAUCCAAUCUUAUAAACCUUCUUUUUUCUUUGCUUAAAAGACCCUUCCAUUAAGUUUUAAAAUUAAUGGGUUCAAAAUCCAUUAACCAAAAUUUCGGCGAAUACCUUCUUUUUUUNNNNNNNNNNNNNNNNNNNNNNNNNNNNNNNNNNNNNNNNNNNNNNNNNNNNNNNNNNNNNNNNNNNNNNNNNNNNNNNNNNNNNNNNNNNNNNNNNNNNAACCCAUCCUCCAUAUGUUUUGCAUAAUUUGAGAUUUGGUUAACCAAUUUUUUUUAACCAUAAAAAAAAUUCUCAAUUGUGAUGGGGAUAAAUUUAUAAUGAAAAAUUUAAUUGAAGUGAAGGUCCAUGUUGUUUUUGAAGCAUAUAUGAUUUGAGGUUUGCCAUGGUUGAGAUGAAGAAGGGAGAAAUAGAGAAAAUUGUGUGAGUAUUUGGAGAUAGAGAACGUAUGAAGGUUUUUUUUUUGCUCUUCUAACCCUUUUUAUUUUCUAAUAUAGAUUGAUAUUGAUACUCUAUAUAAAAAACAAUAUUUUUUAGGAAGAUUUUUUUAACAGAAACUAUCUAACAAAGAUACAUAAAAACAAACAACCUAAAUCCUAAUCAAAUCUAAAAUUUAAAAAGGUACUAAAUAAAUAUAGAUAAAAACUAUCAAAAUCUAGCAAAUCACAAUAAAAACUCAUAAAAUUCUGAAUUAAUUAAAAAUCCGAAAAUUCAAUAAAAAUACCAUAAAAAUUAAUUAAUGCUCUAAAAAUAAAUUAAGAUUAAAUCAAGAAAUAAACAACCUAAAUCCUAAUCAAAUCUAAAAUUUAAUGUGACAAAUAGGGCCAAGGUGGAAAAGCUGAUGUGUAAAUUAUUAAAUGAGAAUUAAUAGGUGGAAAAGCUGACGUGUAAAUAAUUAAGUGAGAAUUAAUCUCGGAGCGACACGUCACUAACUUGGCCUGUGAGAGCGACACGUCAUGCUAGAAGUUCUUCUUUUCUAAUAUAUAUAGAUUCGUACGUAUGAUUCCAGGAAAAUUAUGUGGAAGUAAUUAGCUUUCUUAGCAUGUGUAUAUUGCAGACAUGUUCUAUGAAGACAAGGAAAAGAAAUUGAUGUUUUGGCAUAUAUGGGUAAUUUAAUUUCUAUCACAAAUAUUUAUGAAGGAUGAUAAUGAGAGACUUCAAAAGGUCCAAUUAUUGCACCAUCUUUAUGCAUGCGGACGAAACACAAAAGUAUGGAUUUCGUAAUCCUUUCGUUCAUAUUUAUCUGUCCAUUUUAAGAAAAAUAAUUUAUUUAUAUUUAACUGUCCAUUUAGCAUUUCAAGAGAGCAUUAAAUGAUGUUUUUCCAAGAAAUGACAUUUCAUGGACAAUAAAUAAUGAAAGAUAAAGUACAAUUUAAAGGGUGAAAAAGGAAAACAAAUAAUAUUUUUCUGAAAAUCAACAAAAUUAAUUGCACUCCUUAAUAUGUGUGUUCUUAUCUCUUUGGACAGUUAAAUAAGAACGGAGGAGUAUCUAAUAAUGUUUAAGCCUUUUAGGACCACCAACAAAUAUGUAUCUACCAAAUAGCUAAGCUCUUCAAUGCAGGUUUCGAUUCUUAAGUGGUGUGUAUGAAAAAUAAAUUGUUAAAACUAUUUAUUUAAUGUGAUUUUUGAGUUUCGAAAAAAUUAGUGCAAUAGCUGUCAGCCAUAAAAUUUAUUGAGAAAAUUAAAGAAAGAUAACGGAACAAGACCCAAAACGAUAAAACAACCCACCAAACCAACAACCAGCCCUCUCAAAAAGCCAACCAAAGAAAGAAGAAGCACCCCGAGCCAACUAAUCACAAUUAAAGAUUAGGAUGAUUAGCACUAAUUUGCUCUAUUAAACCCUUAUAUACAUCGCCAUGAUUACCACCUCAUACGCUUACUAAAAAGCAAUGUUUGCGGGCUCUAAUCAUGACUUUGGACUCCUUUCAAUUGGAUUAAAAUGAAACUCACUUGCAAUCAGACUCUUUGCCUUAUUCUUGCUACCUUUAGGAUGUCCCUUCUUCAAUCUACCCACUGGCGUGCUACCACCUUGCUUCUUAGGAGGCCUCCCCUCUUCGGCUUAGUCAAUUUAGGAGAUGAUUGGACCUCCAUAACCUCACCAUCAUAAAUAUUUGUAAAUUACUAUUAAACAUUUGUAAAUUAGCCAUUUCCCCAAAUGAAGUAUAUGAUUCCACACAUAAUCUUCUUUUGGUGGUGUGAAACUGAAGCUAUUUCUAUCAUUGAUUUUUUCUUUUUUUUUCUUCCUUCUCAAGCUAUUCGGUCAAUGUUAUUUGUUUCUUUAUUAUCCAAAUCAGCGUCUUUUGGGCUUGUGUCCAAAUUACAUAGCUAUAUGGAUAUGGAUAUGGAUAUGGCAAAAGACUAUAAUCAUAAAGGACCAAACUAGGGCCAAGAUGCUUACAUAGCUAGUUGGAUAUGGAUGUGCGGAUGAGAAGAGGAGAAGGUUGAUCCAGAAUAGUAUUUUGUUUUACUUCUCUGUUUGUUGUGUCCUUAGCUGGUUUUAGUUGUAGCUUUUAAGAAGCUUUAUGACUUGGUGAGUUUCCAAAAUAUUCCCACCUUCCUCUGUCUGUUUCACGUGGGAAUCGGUUGGAAACUUUAACUUGGUAUUGGUUUGCUCUAGGCGGUCCCCUAUUGUCUUUUGUUAUUUGUUUUGCCUUGUAGCGUAAAGUCAAUCCGGCCUUGUGCCCCUUUGUAAUUGGACUUAGGUCCUUUUCUUGAAUCUAAGUUCAUUUGACAAAAAAAAAAUGGAUGUGGGGCACAUAAGGGCAGGGGGACUUGGGGGAAAUUUAAUACAAUAAUAUACUACCAUAUCAAUGGUAUAUAGGUUGAAAAUGGCUCUCGGACCCAUCGGCUAAAAAUUCUUAUAAUAAUUCUUAUAAUAGUAGGUAAAAUUUACUGAAACAAUAUGAGGUUGGAUAUGAUUAAAUACUCGUAAAAAAUAGUGGGUACGGAUUAAGUAGAUAGGAGUAAUAUAGUACCCAUCCAGCCUCAUAUUCGUACACACUUUAUUAACUAUUUUGAUUUAUAUAUCUACACACUUAAUAGUAUUUUAACAAACUUAAUUAUAGUUACAAAUUUCUAACUUUUUUUUAAAUAAGUGGUGUCGUAAUAUUAUAUAUACCUUCACAAAACAUAUUAUAUUUAGUGUUGCUAAUUUACUAAGCUUAUUUGUGAAAUAAGUAAAUAAUUAACCUAUACUAUAUUAACAUGUACUAAUCUAAAUUAUAAAUUUAAAGUUAUAAUAUUCUCACUCACUCUUAUUAACAAUAUCUAUACUUAAUUGAAUGAUUUAAUUUUUUAAAUAUUUGGAUAGCCUUUUAUAUUUUUAAUUAAUAUUUGUUUAUGUUGAAAAAUAAAAAUAGUAAAAAUAAUGUUUUAGUUAACUAAAUUGCGAGUAUAGUACGAGUAUGAGCAUAUAGAUACCCAAAGAGUACGGGCCUGGGCGUUUAAGUUGCUACCAACGUGGGUAUGGAGACGAGCACGUGUAGCUUUUGAUAAUGCGGGUGUGAGUAGCGUACUCAGACCUACCCUUGUCAUCCCUGUAGUAUAUUUAGAAAGAGCAGUAUAGUCCUAAUAAAUCUGCUUCUCCCACUACCAAGGUAGAUCUGCCCCUGCUUUUAUAUCGUGGUGGUGAUUGGAAUUUGUGAGGUGUGGGUGGUUUUGGAGGAAGAGAAAGAAGGGUCGGGGAAAACGAAGAGGAAGAAAGGGGAAGACGAAGAGGAAGAAGCGAGAUCGGAUGUGAAUAACUAAAUCAUUUUCGAGGCUUUAAUUUAAAACGGAUGUGAAACGCUGACUAGACUUGUCACUGGAAUUGUCAACUAGUUAAAAUUGAUGAUAAAAAAGAUAAAAGGACCUAAUUUUAUUAAUUUAAAAGUUAUUUUUUAAGAACCCAAUUUAAUUUCUCAUACAAAAUUAGGAAUUUAAAACAUAUUUAAACUUAUUGUUUAACCCUCUGACAUUCACAUAUAAGAAACAUAAUAAAGUUAGGUUAACAAUCUAUUUUCACCUCCACCAUAGAUAAAAAAGAAGAUAAUAAGUGAUAUAAUUUGUGAUGUGAUGAGAAAUGUAAAGAAAAAUAAAAUGAAAAAGAAUAAUUAUAUCUUCACAUUUCAUUUUUGAGGUGUGAAGAUGUGGAGGAAGAGAGAGAUAGGAAAAAAAGAGAGAGAAAGUAAAGAUGUGAUAUAUAAUUUGAUUGAUAGAGAAAAGAAAAGUAAUAAAAAAAUAAAAGUGAAAAAGGAAUGGAGAUGUGUAUAUAUCAUAACUCAUCAGAUAUUGAUAAUGGAGAGUCGAAUUCAUGGACCAUUUUUGUACGUGUCCGAACAGAUCUUGAUGAUAAGUUUUGAAACAAGAGCCGUAAAGUGGUGGCUGUGUCAUGUGAGUGUGCCUCACAUCCAUUACCAGUCACAUGCAGAAAUUUGCGUUUGAAAAUAUUUAUCAAUCUGCAUCUGGUAUCUUUAUCAAUGUGCCUUCUUUAAUUUGUACUCUUCUUUUGCUAUUUAUUUACUAGGAUGUAUCACAACAAUUUAGAUAUAUAAUAAGGGGAGUGAUAAUUAGAAACUAAAUAGAAGUAAGCACAAGGAUCAAGUAAAAUUGAGUAGAAGUUCAAAGAUUAUUUGACCGAAGGAGUAUAUAUCCGAGGGGAGUAAUCAUUUAUAACCAUUUUAUUAGAUUAUCUCGUAUAUUUAUAUAAGUAUGAAUUAUUUGGCUUAAAUUUUAAAUUUAUAAAUUCAAGUUCGCUAUCAUAAAAAUGGAGAGAUCGAUAGGUCUGAGUAGUUGGCAAGGUUAUUUAUCAUACGGUUUUGGAUUAAGAUCAUCAGUUUCAGGGUUGAAAAACAUAAAAUCACCAGGUUUGCUACCGUUCGUGCUCUAACUACGGGCUAGCGGGUUUGGUUUUGUCGGAUGAUGGUUUUGUCGGGUGGGUUCGCACGGUUUGUCAAUCCUGAAAAUUAUUAAAAAAAAAAAGAAAAAGAAGAUGAAAGAAACAAAAUCAUAUUCCAUACAGCACAACGCAGAAAAAUCUUAACAAAAUGAAAAAGAAAUGCUAAAAAACCCAACUAGAAGAGGGGUAUAUAUCAAAUUCCAUAGGAGAUGAAGCUUCAUCGCAUAUAUGGUGGGAACCUCAUGCCUCCUCUUAUACACUCAACGGUUCCGGGGAGACCCCUGCUCUUUCUAUCGAAGGAAGAGAGGGAGGAUUUUGUGUUCCCAAACCUUUGAGGCAUUGUUCUUGCCGCAGCACCGAGAACAAANNNNNNNNNNNNNNNNNNNNNNNNNNNNNNNNNNNNNNNNNNNNNNNNNNNNNNNNNNNNNNNNNNNNNNNNNNNNNNNNNNNNNNNNNNNNNNNNNNNNUCUCUGGGUGGGGAAAUAUUUUUCAAAACACCCCCUUUUUUAAUUGGUUGGCCCCCCUUUUCCCCAAUUUGUGUUUUUCCCCUGUGGGGCAAAAAAUGUAAAUGGGUGAAAUGGGUGGGGAACCACCCUCCAAAAGUUCUCCCUUGACAAUUGCUUAUAAGAUAAGGAAAGCCUUUCAAUAUCAUCUUCACUUAUAAAUCUUUGUCACCAAACAAGUCUCUGAUUUCCCUCUGAACCUUACUCAUCACUCUAGCAUUCUUCAAUAGUGCUGUCAUGGCCCAAACUACUAUGGCUGAGCUAGUGUCUGUUCCUGCUAUAAAGAUGUUCUGCACAUAUAUGCAUGACAUAGUUAAAUACACAAAUAAAAUUAAGGGCAAUUAAGGAGGUUCCUCAUUCUUUAUCCCGCUAAUAAAAUUUUAACAUAUCAAUUAAAGAUUAAACCACCAUGUGAGUUUGUAACGAUCCAACUCGGGACUGUCUAGCGUCCACUAUCUAUUCGGGUAAUGCAUGCAAACACUGCUACCAAAUUGUUGCGAAUUAGCUACAAGAAUAUCAAAUUCGCAAUUAAUUUUUGAACAAUUAUUUUACAACUAUUCUUUCAAGUUACAAUGGUUACAAAUUCCAUGUAUAAGCACUAUCUCGAUAACAUCAUCUGAAUAAGUGAUAGACAUUAGACAAAGCGGUCCAACUAAUCUCACUUUUUAAUUAAUAUGGAAAGAUUUCACUCUGAUAGGAAAUUAAUUGAGACACCGUAAUGAACAUGGCAAGAUUUUGAUUCAUAAUUUUAUAAUUAAUCACUAAUCAUGUUCUUUAAAUUAUGGAUUGCAUAAUGCAUAUAUUCAACAAACAUGCAUUUGAAGUUAGAAAUGGAUAGAAGAGAAAAAAGUAAUAGAUGUGAUAUAUGAUGAAAGAAAAAUAUUGGGGAAAAAUUAGAUAUUUGUUAAAAGUAUGUAUGCCUGGUAUCAUUACAGUUAAAUUAAGGACUAUUAAGAAGGUGCGUUACUUACCAUAAGAAUAGCUUUUAUAUGGUCGGGAGUAAGAUCAAAAGAGAAUGAGUGGUGAUUCAUCAUCUGCACAAGAAUAUCAAUGAUAUAUGGAACUUCUUGGUCAUUGGUUUGAGGCCUUGUUGGAUUCAUGUGGUCAUGGAUGACUCGUUCAUAGAUCAAAUCUAACUCCUUGAAGGUUUUGUCUAGCCUCCUCAGAGUUCCUCUAAGUCUAUCAACCCACCCCAUCAAUGGAAAGUGAUCAGAAAAGUAAAAUUCUGUCAACAAAGCUUGAGCCUCAUUGAGAAGUACCUGCAAUCUACUCUUCUUUUGGUCAUUUCCUAUUUCCAAUUCUUCCUCAUAAUCAUAGCCGUACUUUCUCCCAAAAGCUAUCCUGCAUAUUAGGGAAUUUGUGAAAGACAUCAAUGUUUCAGUCAAGUUCACUGCUUUUUCUGAAGAAUCAUAUUUUGCUAUUUUCUGAAUCAUUUGGGAAACUUCAUUUUCUCUGAUGUUACUAAAGGAUUGGAGGCGUUGAGAGCUGAAAAGGUGGAGGGCACAGAGUUUUUUCAUUUCUCUCCAAUAAGGGCCAUAAGGUGCAAAACCCAAGUCCAAGCCAUUGUAAGACAAUUUCCUCAUGCCAAGGAAAGGUGGUCUGCUUGCAAAUUUGAGGUCAUGGGUUUUCAAAACUUCUUUGGCCAUUUUUGCUGAGGAAACCACCAAACAUGGCACAGAGCCAAGGUGCAAUAUCAUGAGAGGUCCGUAACGUUUGGAGAGUUUCCAUAAACAGCGAUGCAGUGAUGAGCUAUCAAGUUGGUGUAUAUUGCCGAUUAGAGGAAGGGUUGGAGGGCCAGGUGGAAGAGUUGCUCUUGUACCAUAUGUUCUGUAUUUGUGGAUGAUGAAUAGAAUGGCGAUAGAUAAUAAAGAAAGAAGAAAAAGCCCCCCCAUGAUACAAGCUUGCAAAUUGCUCAUCUUUCUUCCAAUUUUAUAGAAGGGGAGAAAAGUGAUAGUUACACAUCACAUUAGGUGUACACGUACACUUGAAAAGGAAGGAAAGUAUACAUGCUCUUCCUAUAGAUUUGGAUCCAUUCAAUUGUAAAAAAAAAUUGAUCAUGUGGAAGUUUCACCACCUCACCAAUUAUUAUUAUGUGUUUAAUAAUUGAAUAAAUAAAUGAGAAUUAAAUCAAUGAUGUAAUGAUGAAAUUUGACAUGAUCAAUUUUUUUUUAUAAUUAGAGGAUUCUGAUUUCGAUCGAUAUAUAUUAUGAUUUUAAAAAUAUGAGGGGUAGAAACAUCGACAAAAAUAAAGUAGUAGUAGAAUUUGCACAAACUUAAAACAUCAGGGACAAAAAAUACUUUUUAGCCUAAUAUAUAAUAUAUGAUUAUUUUUCUUACUACUCCCCCUUUUAGUUUCUACUUAUAACUCCCCAUUUCUUGUCAACACCAAAAAGUUGUGUAAAAUCUGGGGAUGAGCAGAUGCAAACAAAUCACUGAAAUUAACAUAUGAAAAAGUAACUAUAUAUUCGGAAAUAUUUAUAUUACAUUAUUAUGUUUAUAAUAUUUUAGAGAUGAUUAUGUUAUAUAGAGACAUGAAUAUUUUAAAUUUGGAGUUGUCUAAAUGAUCUAUGUAGGAUACUAACCCACAACUCAAAGCACCAAUAAAUUUUUUUAUAAAUAAAUUAAUAAUUAAAAUAUAAAAAUUCUAACGUACUACAUAUUUUCAAUGUGAUUGAAUGAUAAAUCAUUUAACUUAAUUUUUUUAUGAAUCAUUUAGAAAACCUACCGCUGAGUUGAUUUUCUUAUACCACAACCAUAAACAAAAUAACAAUAAAUGAAAGAAGAAUACAAAGAAGCAGAUUGGUAAAGAUACGAAGCGCAUAUUGAUAAGAUACCAGACACAAAUGACUACAUGUGAGGCACACAAUCAUCACGUUUCGUUAUGGCUCUCUUCCAAAGCGAUGUAAUUCAAACUUAUCAUCAUGAUCUAUUCGGACACGUACAGAAAUGGUCCAUGUUGAACUCUCCAAUGUCCAUAUCUGAUAAAAAUACUAUUAUAUUUAUUUUAGGCUUAAAUACUCUGAAAGUCUCUGAAAUUAUCUCUCGUAUGAAAAUAAGAGUGGAAUAUAAGGUACAAUACAUGAUGGGUCUUGCACCGGUGCCAUAUAGGUGAGGGCCAAUGAAAUUAAAGCAUCUGUCAAGUGGGGAAACUGGAAACCGUCUGUUUAUGUUAAUUGAAAAUUUAUUGUAUUCGAAAUAAAAUAUGUAAAUGACACUUGCACCCCUGUUUUUCUCCCUCAAUGCUUGAAGAAAGAUUCAACCUUCUUCACUGGCAAAUCUCGCUGCCGCGGCCAUCUCAUUCUCUGGUAAUAUUUUAGCAUCUGGAUUUUGCACUUGAUAAAUUAACUUGAUUGUGAAAAAAACUUGCAGCAGAUCCGAAUUCAACCCAGACGAAAUAAACUGACCAAAGAAUCUAUUAAUGACCCAGAAAAUAUUCAACCCAGACGCACCGAAUGCUCUGAACUCUAAAGUUCAACUUGUCACUCCUCCCUUCACAUUUCUUAGAUUCACCAAGUAAAACAAAAAGGGAGAAUCUAAAUUGUUUAUGCAGUUAGUUUCUCUCAAACCUUUUCUGCAGGCCCGUUGGAAUUGGACAUGGCAUCUUAGAGGUCAAGUGUUGCUCAAAUUCAAAGAGCAAAGCAACCCCAUCUUUUGUCCAAACAAAGAAACGGUGCUUGAGAAUUGAGAUGCAGUACCCUUUACUCAGAUCAAGAUAAUUCACCGGUUUCUCCCCAAUGCCUGAAUUUGUGGCACCGCUUGUGGCUCGUGGGAUCGAUGAUGGUGGCGGUGGUCAUCGACAUCUCGGUGACUCCGAUGGUGGCGUUGAGUGUCGAUCUCGAAUCUGGAUGGGGAGAGUCAAAGUGAGACAACUAAUUUCAGAUUUUGGAGAGGACAUUCCUAUUAAUCGUCACAUCAUCGCCACAGGAACAGAAGGGGGAUUCAUUUCCCUCGUUUGAACGAUGAUCCACCAUGAACUCCAGAACCCGCAAACCCUAGAAUAAAAGUUCUGGUCAUUUCUUAAAAAAAAAACCUCCAUUGGUGCACGCAAACCCACCUUGAAGAUGCAAAUGCAAAGCAAGGUCGAAUUUCGUGAUGGUGGCGAUUCGCACCCAGAUCCGGGGCUUUCGUGUUGGUUUGAUGCAAAGCGGAGAUGAGAGUUGGAUUGGGUGGCGCAAGGCUGCGGUGGUGGGCUGUUAAGUUUGGUGGAUUUUUUUGGAGUGGGGCUGGUUGGUUCUUGUGUGGUGGUUGGAUUGCUGUUUCUGAAUUCUGGCACGGCGCAGUAAUAGCUCUAUCUGGGUUUUUGGGAUGAGUAUGGUGGGUGAGGGAGGGAGAUGGAGGUGGGGAAGGGGGAGGUGCAGUGUAGGACAAAGGUGGAAGAUGGGAAGGAUAUAAGGAUAAUUUCGUAAUAUGACUUUUUUAUUUUUUUCUCAAGGUAAUUAUAACCUCCUAUAAGAGGUCAAAUUCACUCUUGCAUGGUGCAAGACCUAAGAUGUCCUUGCACCCUAACAGCCACCGAAAAUAAGUCACUGAAAUGUUUUUUUUCGAUUCGGAAUCCGAGGAAUUUUUUUAAUCAGACAACUUCAACAAGAUGUAAAAACUCCCAAAACUUCCCAACUUUUUUUUAGAAAGUAAAAUGAUAUUAAUAGAUAAAAAUACAAUCUUGAAAAAGAUUUUAAAGUGCAAAGCUCCAUCAGUCACAAUCUACAACACAUAUUGAAUAAAAACCCAACCACAAAAGAUAUAAAACCUAAGGAAGGAAAAGCCCCGAAAAAUCCAUNNNNNNNNNNNNNNNNNNNNNNNNNNNNNNNNNNNNNNNNNNNNNNNNNNNNNNNNNNNNNNNNNNNNNNNNNNNNNNNNNNNNNNNNNNNNNNNNNNNNGUAAUGUUGUGUGAAAAUUGUGAAACAGGAUUAACAAUUUUCACCCAGAAAAACCACUAUUGACCAUGUUUACGAAUUUCGUCCACCUUAAAGAUGCAAAUGCAAAGCAAGGUCGAAUUUCGUGAUGGUGGCGAUUCGCACCCAGAUCCGGGGCUUUCGUGUUGGUUUGAUGCAAAGCGGAGAUGAGAGUUGGAUUGGGUGGCGCAAGGCUGCGGUGGUGGGCUGUUAAGUUUGGUGGAUUUUUUUGGAGUGGGGCUGGUUGGUUCUUGUGUGGUGGUUGGAUUGCUGUUUCUGAAUUCUGGCACGGCGCAGUAAUAGCUCUAUCUGGGUUUUUGGGAUGAGUAUGGUGGGUGAGGGAGGGAGAUGGAGGUGGGGAAGGGGGAGGUGCAGUGUAGGACAAAGGUGGAAGAUGGGAAGGAUAUAAGGAUAAUUUCGUAAUAUGACUUUUUUAUUUUUUUCUCAAGGUAAUUAUAACCUCCUAUAAGAGGUCAAAUUCACUCUUGCAUGGUGCAAGACCUAAGAUGUCCUUGCACCCUAACAGCCACCGAAAAUAAGUCACUGAAAUGUUUUUUUUCGAUUCGGAAUCCGAGGAAUUUUUUUAAUCAGAAUAGGCCCCUACCCGUAUUAUAUGCUUAUGUGGCUCUUAUUUUGCACAGUCAUCAAUUCGAAGUGUAUUUUUUAUUUUUUUUAUAUUCCAACUGUGUUAAUUAACAAUUUUUUUAUUUUUAAUUCACAAAUAAUUUUUUUUUUCAUCUCCAUUGCUGAAGUAAAGAGUGGCUCCCAAUCAUGUAGCUGACAACAAAUGUAAUUUUUCAUUCUUCUUCUCAUAAAUUUUUUAAUAGAAUUUUUAAUUGAUCUUCAUCUUCAACCCUCACUACCACAUUCAUCAAGCCCCCUUCAUUUCAUUUUCAAUAUUGCACCACCGCCAACCCAAGUUCUCACAAAAUCAUCACCACCCACAACCACCACAUUGUUCAAUCUUUCCAACCCAUAUCAGAAGAGAAAGCAUGAAACCAAAAUAUCCGAACUCAAAAACCCAGAUUCUCGACCCAAAACACAUACAACUAAAUUUAUUCACCAUCAUUUUCAUCAUUCUUUCAUCAUCUUCUUCCUUCAAUAGGAAAAAAAAUCAGAAAAACAAAAACAUAUAACCAAACCCAAUGCCAUCAACACCACCCAGAUCUGAACAAAGGAAGAUGAAGGAGGGAAGCCAUCGAAACCCAACACCCACCACAUCGAAUCGUCUCCCCAUCAGACCAGAUCUGCCUCCAAACCUUAGGGCCUCUGUUAUCUGCCUCUGGAACCAAACCUCAACUUCAUCUUCUUCAGAAAAGACACCAGAUCUGACCAGAUCCAACAAGAAAUUGACUACCUUCUGGCGGGGUAGGGCACCACCGCGACCCUUGACGAGGUUGAGGUGAGGGUCGACCUCAUCAGCACUGUCGAUGGUGAGAUUGAAGAAGAGUUGUUGUCGGCGCGAAAGGUGAACGAAGGUAUAGGCAGAGGCAGGUGAGUGCGAGGAAGGUUGUGGCUAUGGCGCGGUGUGGCUUUGUUUUGGUCGCAUUUUUGGAUCGGUGGUGGAAAACGACAACGACAGCGACAAGAGAUUGGAAAAUGACGGCGACGACAGGGAGGGGAUGGGUUGGAGAAGUGGGAGAAGUUUAGGUCUAAGAGGAUUUGUGUUCUGAGUGAGUGAGUGAGAGGGUGAAUAAUUUAUUUUAUGGUUUUUUGUGGUUAUUGGUGGAUGAAGAUGAUGAAUAAUUUAUUAAUCUUCUCCCUCCUAACCUAAUCUGAUUGAUCUAUGGGAAUUAAAAAUAAAGUUAUUUGUUAAUCAUAAUUUAUUUAACACAGUUGGAAUAUAAGAAAAAUAAAAAAUACAUAUGGAAUUGAUGACUACGUAAAAUAAGAGCCACAUAAGCACAUAACACAGGUAAGGACCUAUUCUAAUUAAUUUUUUUUCAGGGAUUCGGAAUCGGAAUUUUUUUUCAGGGACUUAUUUUCGUACGGGAGACAAUUUCAGAGACAUGCAUAGUAUUUAAAACUUUCGUUUAUUUACGCCGCAUUCAAGCGACGUAUAGUGAAGUUUUUCAAUCACUGCUAAAUGUGGAGUGUUAAAAAGAACAUACAUGUUUUUGACGGAGUCAAACUACUAUAAAAUUCGCCUUUGUUUUCAAAUGUAAAUUUAUUAAACUUUGUGUUCCUGUAAAUUCAUUUAAAAUCAUUUUCAAGAGUUUUUUUUUCCUAUUGUACAUGCACUUCUAAAUCAAUUCGGUAAAUUUUUCAAUUCAAUAAUUUCAUAUUAUGUGAUACAUUUAUUUCAAUUUUUUGUACAAAUUUUUCCUUGUAAGUGUCUACCGCUACAACGUCAAACCUCAGAGUCAACCUAUACAAAUAACGCAAACGGAUGUACAAAAAUGUCAGCUUAGAGUUAGUUAAACCGACACUAACUAUUAGUGUUGUCCACAAAUAGGCGAUGAUACAUGUUAGCUUCAAGUCGUUUAACGAUAGUUCCGGCGCCGACAAUAAAUCAACUACAAUGCCUAUUUUUGGCUUGUUAAAGGUUGCUUUCAGCCGACAGUAAUGGACAUUUUUUUUAUAGGCUAACAUCUAAAGUCACAUAUAAAUUAGUCUCUGAAAAUUUAUUUCAUAAGUUUUUGUCCCUGAAUUCUUCUUUUUUAUUCGAAAUAAAAUAAGUGACAUUAUAAUGCUCACGUAAAAGUUGAGUUUGGUCCUUGAAUGUUGAUUGGAAUAUUCAGGAAAGAGCAGGAGCUUGUGGAGUUGUGGUCGACGAAGGGUCUGAGAUUUGAUUCGUUCAUUCCAUCCUCCCUUGUUUGCAAUAUUUGAAACUCACUGUAGUUUUGAUUCUGUCUCUCACUUCUGGACGACUGCUGGCUAUGGGGGGUGUGGUAGCUCAGAGGCAGUGGGGCACCGGGGAGGUGUAUGCGUUUUAGUUCCAGUGGAUCGGAGCUUCACUAUUCAGGUUGUUGAUAUACAUGUGCAGACUGUCUUAAACUCAAUGAGCUCCAGCAACAGGUCUUGGACUUGUUAUGCGCAAUUUAUGCAAACCUGAAUCCCACCUUGAGGGAAGUGUAAGAUCAAGGUUUGAUCAGUGGUUGCAUCUCUAUAUUUUGAUGAUUACAAUUAAGGUUUGUGAUGAUGAACAAUUGUGGUACCCUAACGUUUGUCUUCUUUAGUUGUGACAAACAGGUUCUGAAUCUGACCCAAGACUAUUUAUUCAGAAGAAGAAGAACCAAGGGAUACUAAAAAGAGAGUCCUAAAGCGUACCAUGUUCGUUCUGAACAGUGGAAAAUCCUUCAGAAGUUCUGAAGAUUCAAGCUCUCAAGAGGUUCUGAAGAACCAGAGUCAGAAGUUCUGAAGACCAGAUGUUCCAGUGGAACGGUCCAGAAGUAGAAGACUCAAGUUCUGAAUACCUGCAGGAAGUUGGUCCUGAAGACCCAAGCUAUUCUUGCUCUGACGUUCAGAAGUUCCAAGGAACUUGUUCAGAAGCAGAAGUUGCAAGGUCAGAAGAAUCCAAGCGUUAAUCUGACGAAGAUCAGAAGCUUCACCAACGUUCAUCUGAAGCACCUCUGAUCUCAAGUCAACUGGUGAAAGGACAGGUCGCUAUCAUAGUACAACAUCGUACAAGCCUUAGUCUGUCUGCCACCUACCUUGUUCAACCUAGCAGUCUGAUAUUACAAGAGUGCCACUCCAACGGAUAAAACCUUAGCAACGGCUACAUCACAAGUCUUGGAGUAUAUAAAGGCUGAAGAAAGAAGANAGAGCCUAAGAAACUUUGCUGAAAUCAUUCAACAUAUACGAACUCUUAGCAUUAUUUCUUCACUGUUCUUAAACAUCUGAGUUUACUAUUAGCUUUUCAGAAGCACUUGUUGUAAACCCGAAACCUUUUACAUGACAUUGUAAAGUUCCUUAAGAGACCAAGGUUGGUCGGAUCUUGAGAGGACUGAAUCAAGGCUGAUUCAGUGUUUAGCUAGUCUUAAGAGGAUCGGUAGAUCAGCUUCUUAAGAGGAUACUAGUGAGAAAAUCAGUGUAUUGUUAGUCACUUAGCAGGUUGCAAAGUGCAGUUGUAACACUCAUUGAUUUUAGUGAAUUGCCUUCAUCAGAAGAAGGAAGAAAUCACCUUAACAGGUGGACUGGAUUAGCUUGAGCUUUUAUCUCAAGUGAACCAGGAUAAAAUACUUGUGUGCUUUACUUCUUAUCCUUCACACCUAUUUAUUAUCUUCGAGUUUUGAAAAGUUUCAAAAGUGUACCCAUUAUUCAAAAACUCUAUUCAAACCCCCCCUUUCUAGUGUUUUUCGCACCUUCAGGAAGAGCUUUUGGGCCACUUGACUCAUCUAAGGCAACAAAUUCUGGAACCUUGGCUUGCUAAUGGGGACUUCAAUGAGAUUACUUCUCCAUCUGAGGUUUUAGGAGGGGAGUACUGUCAGAAUCGGGCGUCCCGUAUGCUAUCUAUGAUGGAGGCCUACGAGCUCAUUGAUAUGGGAGCCACAUGGAGUGUGUUUACUUGGGAAAGGAGACAUAACAGACGACGUAUGAUUUCUAAACGUUUGGAUAGGGAUGUUGGGGAUGUUUCUUGGCGCCACAAUUUUCCUGAGGCCUAUGUAGAACAUUUAGCCCGAGUUUACUCAGGUCACUGUCCGGUGCUGGUUAAAUGCAAUGCUGCUUUGGAGGACCGUUUAGCUCGUCCUUUAUGUUUUCAUGCCGCUUGGGCGGCACAUCCUCCCUUUGCCCCUUGAUUAGGGACACUUGGAAGGAACCACCACCUUCUUUGGUGCAACCCAUCCUUUUAACACUAACGUGUUCGAGAAUAUUACUAGGAGGAAGAAAUAGGUGGAGCGAAGACUACAACAUGAAUUAGAAGUUAGAGAGACGAAGUCCAUGCUACGACUAGAGAAAUCUUUGCAAGAAUAAUAUGAGCAAAUCCUAACCCAGGAGGAGUUAACGUGGUUCCAAAAGUCCAGGGAGAGAUGGACGAAGUUUGGAGAUCGUAAUACAAAAUUCUUCCAUAGCCAAACUAUAGUGAGACGAAAGAGGAACAAGAUUCAUGGGAUGUUUGUUGGAGAGGAGUGGUGCACAGAGCAUGAAGCGUUAAGGGCGGGGCCCAAGCGUUUUUCACUAAUCUUUGUUAUGUUGAUUCUCAGGUUCGCAGGAAUCAUGUCAUGGGCAUUGUGCCGCCUUCCAUUCCUGAGGGGGAGCAGAAGAACCUAGUUUAACCAAUCUCUCUGGAGGAACACACUCCUAUGGGAGCCACUACAAUAGGGUGGGAUGAUCACUAAUUUUGAUGCUCAGUCCAAAGCACCAAUGUUUGUUUUUGAGGAUGGAAGUUGGAACCCAAUUGUGUGGGGAGGAGGGGUUGCGCGACUGUACUUCAGAACAACGCUGAUGCAUGGGUUUCUGGUGUUUUCAUAAGCUUCAACCAUGGGAGUGCUUUUUUGGCUGAACUUAUGGCGGUGGAGCCCGAGAAUUGAAGCUGGUAGAGAGGGCUCCUAGAUUCAGAUUUGGAGAAACCCUCCCUCUUUUGUUUAUGCAUCGCUGUAUUUGGAUGUUGUUAGUUAGCCUUUCUUUUUGCUAUUAAUUUUCCUCAUGUAAUAAAAAAAACGACAUGUAAGAAAUCACAUUAUGUGCGCUGACAGACAAUGUAAAAAUCUUCAGAGUGUAAUCCAAAUCAGAUUUUAAGUAGGAGAAAAAACCUGUUUGUUUUUUUAAAUUUAAAUGAUUAAAGUUGCACUUUUAAUUUUUAAAAUCCAAUUGGUUUAGAGUGUAUUUUUUUUAUUUAAUGAGUCAACAUAAACAUCAUUAAUUAACAUAUUAUGCCAGGAUAACUUAAGUGAUAAAAGCUAAUAGACAUAUGAGUUGGAGAGAUGGAGAUAGGGGAUCAAUCUUUAAAAUGCAUAUUGGACAUUUUCUAUGUUGAUCGCUUCCUGACAAUAAGGUUAAGAUCAAUUUUCUUGUGCAUUGUUAAUCCUGGGAUCACUUGUGUGUCCAACAUCUCUUCCUUAUGAAUUCCUGGAGGAACAUCCCAAUCAAACGAGUGGAGAAGAUUAGCUAGUGAAAGCUCAAUCGUGGCCACUCCCAUGUUCAUCGCUGGACAAAUUCUCCUUCCACUUCCAAAAGGAAUAAACCCAAAGUCUCUCCCCUUGAAAUCUAUUGAACUCCCAAGGAACCUUUCAGGGUAAAAUUCUUCAGGGUCUUCCCAGAUCUCAGGGUCUCUUGCUAUUGCCCAAGCGUUAACAUGCACUAAAGUUCUUGCUGGAAUCUCAU